Long non-coding RNA from Phasianus colchicus (ring-necked pheasant), 1283 nucleotides. RefSeq lists it as uncharacterized. The record is from RefSeq and is a predicted model, not a curated record. Lineage: Eukaryota; Metazoa; Chordata; Aves; Galliformes; Phasianidae.
ACGGGCUAAUCCUGUCCAGCCGUUAGUGAGAGGCUGAGGACUGCUGUCUCCUCUCAAUAAUCUCUGAAGGUGUGGCAGCCAGUGGAAAAUUAUGCUGGCAUGGAGAAGACCAGGGCACAAGGACAAAAGUCUUGGCAAAGAGCUCCUUGCAAAGAAGCUGAAUUGAGGCCUUAACCCCAGAAGCCUACACACCAUGUCAUUCUGCCAUCCAGAAACGGGGAACAUCUGACUAUAAGGAACUUGGAAUUCACAAAGGCAGCCUUCUAUUUCUCUGCCUACACAUAUGCAAUAUAAAGCGGUCAGAACGAGCACAAAGAACAAAGUACAGGAUUGAUCCUUCUUUUAGAAAAAAGCUCCUUUUGUAAAGCAAGGUUUUGGACCCCUGCAUCUGAAUCUUUGCACACAUGAGUGACUCUAAUGGCAUUGACACCAAGCCUGAUGUGAAAUUAAGAUACAGGAGUCAACCUUUUCAUCUCCCCUUUGCACAAGACACAUAUGUUGCAAGUUUAAGUCAGAUAAUAAAAUGGUAGACCAACAACAACAAAAAACAAAAACAGAAGCAGUCACUUUAUAUCCAAGUGUCAUUUUCUCUGCACACACUACUGCAAUCUUUAAUUUUCUGAUGAUCUCUGUAAUACUUUUGAGAAGAGUAGACUUUCCUGUUGUUCAACUUUAUAACUACACAGACAUAUUCCUUUCUUUUUCUCUACCUGUUAUAAUUUUCUCAGAAAGAUCAAAUCAUUAAUGGUAUUAAGGACUUUGUGGUAGAAAUCUAUGCUGCAUAUGUUACUUACAUGAAGAAAGAAAAUCAUAAUUGGAAACUUUACAGCUAUAUACUUCAGAAGCAAAUAUAUGUGUUUCUUUAUGUUUAUUAGAUCUUCAAAACUAUUUUCUGAUGUCAUUAUCUUAAGGGGCUUUGUGUACAUGUUUAUCUAAAAGCAGAGGGUGACUUGGCAAAAAUAGAAGAGCAGAAAGAAUAUCCUUAUUAUGGUACUUCCUGCUUCCUCUAAUGAAAAAAAGAAGCUCAUUCAUUUCCUUUCGCAGUUCAUAAAUGAUAUCCAUUCUCAUAGAAAAACUUGAAAUAAAAGAGGGAUUAACUUGCUAUUAUAAAGGCUUCACUAGAUACUCCUGAAGUACAUGCAGAGAAACCAGAACUUACCUAAUUCUAUGAAAUGUUUGUUAUAUAAUAUUUAGCAGUCAACUGCAAAUGCACCAGACAGGACGUUCAGCUCUUUGCACAACUGUUAACUCACGUACAUGCCUCCUGUAGUACUUACUAUACA